AGGGGUUUAUCGCUGUAAAGAACAGAUUGAUUGGAAACGAAAAUACGGCAAAUAUAAGCUCCUUAAUUACUGAACCUUCCAAAUGCCAGCGGUGUACUAAGAGGAAUGUUCGUCAAGCUUAUCACAAUGUCUGCCAUGGUUAGUUUUAGUUCUAAAACUGUUAUUGUAUUGUGUUUUGCUUUCAUUUUGUCGUAAUUUAGCCUUCGGAAAACGGAAUAAAGAAUCAAAUUUUUGUUGGGGGUGGACAUUUUUGUUCUUAAUUAUUGAGAAUAAUGUGCGUAGGUUGUGCUAAAGAGCAUAAACCCGAAAAAUCGAGAAAGAUUGAUAAAAAAUUAAGUUUUUUUUUGAUGAAUUGGUUAAUGUUGAAGCGGAUGCAGUCAGUUUAUGAAUUAAUAUUUGUAUUUCUUCCCGUGCAUAGAUAUUUUAGAAGUAGAAGCUGAGAAAAAGACAUUAGACGAGGCAAUCAAGAAUGCUCCGGAGAGGGAUAGGAGAUCUUUGCUAAGAGCUGUAAGUUUUUUGUCGGAAUUUUUUUUUUUCUGAUUUAUUUUGUUUGAACUGAAUUUGGGCCGCCGAGGAGAUGUAGUGCAUCAAUUAUCGGAGAUGGAUGUUGCUGUUAUUUUUUCGCCAGAGAAUGUUGUCUGGCCCGCCGACGAAGCUAUAUCCGUGAAAGGAAGAGCGGUGGUGGUCGUCGUAGAAUUUUGGAAAUUUAUUAAAUUAGGUGUUUGAGAUUUUUUUUUUUGUGCAGGGAUGGAUUGGGUUUGGGAAGGAAGGAUGGGGAUGGAUGACAGCUUCUUUUUCCUUGUUUUUUUUUUUUUUUUUUUUUUUUUAAUAUCUAUUUCAAUUUGUAUUUAAUUAAUAUUAAAGAUGUAAGUGAAAGGACGAAUUUACCCCUCAAAAUCUCACAUGCAAAGCACAUGUUUUAAUAUUCCGGUCAAAAUUGCCGGAAAAUUGAGUUUAGGGGGCACCGUGCAACGAAUUAACGAGUUCAGGUAAAAA
Non-coding RNA from Erythranthe guttata (spotted monkey flower), 996 nucleotides. NCBI's taxonomy places the organism in Eukaryota, Viridiplantae, Streptophyta, Magnoliopsida, Lamiales, Phrymaceae. The record is from RefSeq and is a predicted model, not a curated record.